This 325-nucleotide long non-coding RNA is filed under the name Trifolium pratense (red clover). Its description in RNAcentral is "long non-coding RNA (TPRA_LNC002674)". Lineage: Eukaryota; Viridiplantae; Streptophyta; Magnoliopsida; Fabales; Fabaceae. The record is from RNAcentral.
UCAAAGAUGAUAACAACAAUUCCUCAUGGUCAGUAAGUCAAUUGUUCCAAGCAUCUAUGGAAUCCAACAAUUCCUCCCUCAAGAUCAUUCAUGGUUUGAAGAUUUUUUCAUCAUAAGAUCGAUGUCAAUUCGGCCCUAAAACCGGAUACCAACUGGCGAAAACCUUGCAGCUAGAGGAUUGAUGUUGCCUUCCAUGGCACCUUGUGUAGUAAACAACCUGACACUUCUCUUCAUUUAUUCCUGCAUUGUCCCUUUUCUCUUGCUUAAUGGAACCGGCUUGCUUCAAUCUUAAAUUUGAAUAUUGAUCUUAACUCAUACUCCUCAA